RNAcentral lists this ribosomal RNA (497 nucleotides) under uncultured bacterium. RNAcentral describes it as "partial 16S ribosomal RNA". It matches the Rfam family "Bacterial small subunit ribosomal RNA", at positions 28 to 507 of the family's 1533-position model. The record is from RNAcentral.
GAUGAACGCUGGCGGCGUGCCUAAUACAUGCAAGUCGAGCGAACGGACGAGAAGCUUGCUUCUCUGAUGUUAGCGGCGGACGGGUGAGUAGCACGUGGAUAACCUACCUAUAAGACUGGGAUAACUUCGGGAAACCGGAGCUAAUACCGGAUAAUAUUUUGAACCGCAUGGUUCAAAAGUGAAAGACGGUCUUGCUGUCACUUAUAGAUGGAUCCGCGCUGCAUUAGCUAGUUGGUAAGGUAACGGCUUACCAAGGGAACGAUGCAUAGCCGACCUGAGAGGGGGAUCGGCCACACGGGAACUGAGACACGGUCCACACUCCUACGGGAGGCAGCAGUAGGGAAUCUUCCGCAAUGGGCGAAAGCCUGACGGAGCAACGCCGCGUGAGUGAUGAAGGUCUUCGGAUCGUAAAACUCUGUUAUUAGGGAAGAACAUAUGUGUAAGUAACUGUGCACAUCUUGACGGUACCUAAUCAGAAAGCCACGGCUAACUACGUG